GGGCGUGUAGCUCAGCUGGUUAGAGCACUUGCUCGACAUGCAAGGGGUCACAGGUUCGAAUCCUGUCACGCCCACCA
Molecule: transfer RNA, 77 nt
Filed under: Alphaproteobacteria bacterium
Lineage: Bacteria; Pseudomonadati; Pseudomonadota; Alphaproteobacteria
Also listed under: 1 other name
Description: tRNA-Val
Rfam family: tRNA
About the family: Transfer RNA (tRNA) molecules are approximately 80 nucleotides in length.
Source: RNAcentral